Molecule: ribosomal RNA, 465 nt
Filed under: uncultured bacterium
Lineage: Bacteria
Description: bacterial SSU rRNA
Rfam family: Bacterial small subunit ribosomal RNA
Source: RNAcentral
GAUGAACGCUGGCGGCGUGCUUAACACAUGCAAGUCGAACGGGAUCCAUCAAGCUUGCUUGGUGGUGAGAGUGGCGAACGGGUGAGUAAUGCGUGACCGACCUGCCCCAUGCUCCGGAAUAGCUCCUGGAAACGGGUGGUAAUGCCGGGUGUUCCACAUGAUCGCAUGUGAUUGUGGGAAAGAUUCUAUCGGCGUGGGAUGGGGUCGCGUCCUAUCAGCUUGUUGGUGAGGUAACGGCUCACCAAGGCUUCGACGGGUAGCCGGCCUGAGAGGGCGACCGGCCACAUUGGGACUGAGAUACGGCCCAGACUCCUACGGGAGGCAGCAGUGGGGAAUAUUGCACAAUGGGCGCAAGCCUGAUGCAGCGACGCCGCGUGAGGGAUGGAGGCCUUCGGGUUGUAAACCUCUUUUGUUUGGGAGCAAGCCUUCGGGUGAGUGUACCUUUCGAAUAAGCGCCGGCUAACU